RNAcentral lists this ribosomal RNA (492 nucleotides) under uncultured bacterium. RNAcentral's name for it is "partial 16S ribosomal RNA". It matches the Rfam family "Bacterial small subunit ribosomal RNA", at positions 29 to 507 of the family's 1533-position model. The record is from RNAcentral.
AGUGAACGCUGGCGGUAGGCCUAACACAUGCAAGUCGAACGGCAGCACAGUAAGAGCUUGCUCUUACGGGUGGCGAGUGGCGGACGGGUGAGGAAUACAUCGGAAUCUACUUUUUCGUGGGGGAUAACGUAGGGAAACUUACGCUAAUACCGCAUACGACCUACGGGUGAAAGCAGGGGAUCUUCGGACCUUGCGCGAUUGAAUGAGCCGAUGUCGGAUUAGCUAGUUGGCGGGGUAAAGGCCCACCAAGGCGACGAUCCGUAGCUGGUUUGAGAGGAUGAUCAGCCACACUGGAACUGAGACACGGCCCAGACUCCUACGGGAGGCAGCAGUGGGGAAUAUUGGACAAUGGGCGCAAGCCUGAUCCAGCCAUACCGCGUGGGUGAAGAAGGCCUUCGGGUUGUAAAGCCCUUUUGUUGGGAAAGAAAAGCAGCAGGUUAAUAACCCGCUGUUCUGACGGUACCCAAAGAAUAAGCACCGGCUAACUUCGUG